RNAcentral lists this long non-coding RNA (4398 nucleotides) under Panax ginseng (ginseng). RNAcentral's name for it is "long non-coding RNA (PGIN_LNC012366)". Lineage: Eukaryota; Viridiplantae; Streptophyta; Magnoliopsida; Apiales; Araliaceae. The record is from RNAcentral.
GAAUGUGAAUGUAAAUGUAAAUCAAGUUGCGGCCUAACAUGGACAAAUGAGUAAUGGCUGAUUGACCAGCUGGAAAUUAAGAAUCGCUCUCCUCGAUCUUUUCUAUUUGCUUUUAAAAUAUUGAAAAAAUAGGUGAAUUUUUCGUGUAUAAAUAGAAUGCAAGAGAAGAGGGGAAAAUAACUACACUUAAUAAUUUCACAGUUGAGAGCAGAGCAUACAUUAAAGAUGAUGCAGAAGAAGACGUUGGCGAUAGCUCUGGUGUGGCUCCUGGUUGCGUCGUCAAUCAUGAUGUGCGCGUACGCAGCUGCAGACAGUACCCCAUUGAAAACUGCUGACCAAGUUCUCCAUCCCCUAGCAGGUAAGAACGAACAUCAUAUAUAUCCUUUUGCUUUCGCAUCUGUUCUACAAAUUAAUAUUCUACAUAGUAUAUAUAUAUAUACAUACUACUACAAUUAGGCGCAAUGUGUUUCGGUGCUUGAAUGCAUGCAUGCAUGUGCAUUUACGUAAUAUAUAGUAAUUUAGAGUAUAUAUAUAUAUAUAUAUAUUCAUAGAACUAACUAUAUGUGGAUGCUAAUAAAUACAUACACUACUUGAAGGUUGUCGCUGCUGCAACUUCAUUCGUGUGAAAGGGUUUAUCCAAUGCGGAACAGUUUGUUGUGUGGAUGGAUGUUGCGGACGCAAGUGAAGCACCUGCAAUGCAGCUACACAGACAAUAAUAUGAAUCAUGGUGAUAUAGUUGCACAAUAAGAUGAAUAAUGGUGGUUAAAAGUUGCAACAUCUCUGAAGCAAUUAAUCAACCACCCCCCNNNNNNNNNNNNNNNNNNNNNNNNNNNNNNNNNNNNNNNNNNNNNNNNNNNNNNNNNNNNNNNNNNNNNNNNNNNNNNNNNNNNNNNNNNNNNNNNNNNNUAAUUAUUAUCGAUUUCCCUGUUUGUUUGUUUUGCAUUCCUAUCGAGUUAUAUAAUGUUUGUCGAAAAGAUCCUGUUUAAUGAAAAAUGUCUGGAAAUCUGGGUGUUUCAGCAGGAUUUCUUUACGUUAUGUAUGUCUACAUGAGGAUUUAUCUAUAAUCUAUCUAUAUAAAAGCGAUCGACUCGUUAAUCUAAAAGUAUCAUUCAUUUCAAGAGUUUGAUUCACAAUCUGUCCUGCCUGCCUACUAAUUUCAAGGAACAACUAGAUGAACUGCUUCUAGUGUUAACACAAGAAAAACUGUUUCUGCUCCAUACCAACCAAAACAUACAAAACUGCACCUUUUUAUAGUCAUUUCAUGAUACUUACCAUAUGAAUGUUCCAAUACACAAAUGUUCCGAUCUAUAAAAAUUUAUUUUUUAUUUUUAUUUUUUUGAAAAAACCUGGAAAAAAAUACAUUAUGUCGUUCAAAUUAGGGAGUACAUGCGUAAUAGGGUUGAGGGAUAUAUACCUACUCUAUUCAAAAAUGAAGUACGUUACAAACUUUCAUAAUCUAAGUAAGAAAAUAAAGUAUCGAUAAACAACUUUCAAAGACAUGCCAAGUCUCGCAUCCAAUUUAUAUCAUAUAAUCACCAUUCAACGAUCAUCAUAAAAGAAAAUCACUCACCACAUCAGUAGAAUCAGAGCUCCCACAAGGAGAAAAAAGACCCCACAAGAGGGGAGAAAGAACGAUUUAAACCUAAAGGAGAAAAUAAAAUUCCAAAACAAUGAUAAAAUAAAAAAAGAUAGUCAAUAAGAAGAUCAUGGGAGGGUCUCUUCAAACAAGAUACAGACCCUCACCCUCCCCAGGUCUAAGUUUGAAGUUUGGGAGACUAGGGUUUAUGGCUAGAGAGAGAAAAACACAACUAUGAAUGAAUUAUUAGUCUCAUGAUCCGUGUUAAGGGUCUCACAUUUUUAGUUUCAAAUAGGUCUAAAUGAUAUGACAUUGAAUAUUUUAAUAGUACUUUGACACUUUUUGAAAUAAAAAAUUGGAUUUCUAACUAGAUUGGAUUUCUAGGGACUUCAAACAGAAUGCUGGAAUUUAUCAUGCACCUUUUCUACCUUCAACAGAAACUUCUCUACCCAACAGUGUGAUUUCUAACUGUAUUGUGUGCGUAAAAUAUACGGAUUUGGUCAUCUUAUAUUGUAAAAUCAGAAAGGCAAUCUUUUUAAACUGUAAAGUUAUAUGUGCACUUGAAAGUUUCUUGUCAAGAGUUGUACAAGUAAAAAAAAUUAAAAAAAAAACAAGUGUUUCCAUCUUUCUAGCUAUUUGCCAUUUUCACUUCGAUCCGAUUGAUCAGUCCUGAGCCUCUGAAUGAAAACUUUCACACUUGUGUGUGCACACAUGCACACACAUACGUUUGCCUGCAAUCAGUACAUUGAAGAGUCAAAUUUUGUGACAACGAUGGCAAGGUUCUUCUAUCUUGUUGAAAGAUAAUCACAAGAUUUCUUAAAUGGGUAACUGCACUCAGAGGAUCUAACACAAAGGAUGAGAAAAUAAAAUUGAAAACAAUUGCCUUUUCAAACCAAAGGGCCUACCUUAGCUACUUAAUAUUAUAGUGAUAACAAAUUUGAGAAAAUAGAUAGCCUUAAAUAUUGAUUCACUUGCAAAAGUGGCUCCAAUAGAAAGAUAUCUAGCAAUCUGGGGAAACGUGGAAUUCUAUACUCCAAGGAGUACUAGGAAAUGGACUUCAGACUCUUCAAGAUCUAUUAAGAUAGAGAGCAUGAAAUUUCUACUACAAUCAAGUAGUUCAAAAUAAAUGUUUAGAUGGAAAUUAUAUUCAUUUUCUUAUUUCUGUCUACGUUUAGUUGAUCAAGACGAACUCAUGUAAGCAGGGUAAAGUUUUCCUGCAGAAUAAGUGUGGUGACAAUUUUUAAUAGAGGCUAUUUAAACACAUAAACUAUAGAGGAAUCAUUUUCAACUGGAUUACCAAUGUCCUAAUUUACGUGUCCCCUCAUCUUUUUUUAUUGUUCCAAAACCUUGUCAUUAGUUUUAUAACAACUUGUAUGGCUAAUACUAGAUUUUUGAAAUGAGAACCUCAACCACUAAAUGGUGGUAAUAUUGGAAUCUCAAACUGCUCUAUAGGCCUUCAGGCUAUUUUAGUGCCUAAAACCCUCAAUUGGGACUGGCGGAGUAUUUGAAAGGACACUUCUGAGUUUUUUCAUUUCAAUUACCAAGAGAAACCCACUGAGAAAUGACAAGCAGACCUAUCGAAUAUCUUUAAAAUAUUAUAAAUAAAAUAAAAAUACAACAACUUGAACAGACAAGACAAUAGUCAAGGACUUGAUUCUUUGUUUUGUGCAAGAAUAAGUACAUGCAUGUAAUCUUGAGUGAACAACAACUUGUUCAUAUUGAAUGUAAAUGUAAAUCAAGUUGCGGCCUAACAUGGACAAAUGAGUAAUGGCUGAUUGACCAGCUGGAAAUUAAGAAUCGCUCUCCUCCCCUAUUUGCUUUAAAAUAUUGAAAAAAUAGGUGAAUUUUUCGUGUAUAAAUAGAAUGCAAGAGAAGAGGGGAAAAUUACCUGGGCUAGCUACACUUAAUAAUUUUACAGUUGACAGCAGAGUAUAUAUUAAAGAUGAUGCAGAAGAAGACCUUGGCAAUAGCUCUGGUGUGGCUCCUGGUUGCGUCGUCAAUCAUGAUGUGCACGUACGCAGCUGCAGACACUGCAUUUAAAACUGCUGACCAAGUUCUCCAUCCCCUAGCAGGUAAGAACGAACAUCCAUUUACUUAAUCAUGAAUCGCAUCUGUCCUACAAAUAUUCUGCAUAGUAUAUAUAUAUAUAUAUAUAUAUAUAUAUAUACACACACACUUACUAAUUAAGCGCAAUGUGUUUCGGUGCUUGAAUGCAUGCAUGCAUGUGCAUUUACGUAAUAUAUAAUUUAGAGUGUAUAUAUAUGUGUAUAUAUAUAUAUAUAUAUAUAUAUAUAUAUAUAUAUUCAUAGAACUAUAUAUGCUAAUGGAUACAUACACUACUUGAAGGUUGUCGCUGCUGCAACUUCAUUCGUGUGAAUGGGUUUAUCCAAUGCGGAAUAGUUUGUUGUGUGGAUGGAUGUUGCGGUCGCAAGUGAAGCACCUGCAAUGCAGCUACACAGACAAUAAUAUGAAUCAUGGUGGUGGUGUUGCACAAUAAGAUGAAUAAUGGUGGUCAAAAGUUGCAACAUCGCUGAAGCAAUCAAAGCCCCCCUUAUAGAUUUCCCUGUUUGUUUGUUUUGCAUUCCUAUCGAGUUAUAUAAUGUUUGUCGAAAAGAUCCUGUUUAAUGAAAAAUGUCUGGAAAUCUGGGUGUUUCAGCAGGAUUUCUUUAUGUUGAUGUAUGUAUGUAUGUCUACAUGAGGAUAUCUAUUAUAUAUACUAAAUCACAGUACAUGGCACCAUAUAUUGACAAAUGUCCUUCUACAAAUUCAACACUUGUCCAUCUUAAAUAGUUUUAAUUAUGUCACAAUUAUCUUAAUUAUAU